UGCUUGUUUGUUUUUAGGGAAGAGAAAUUGUAAUCUUUCUAAUAUUAUUUCGUAUUCCACGAACUUUGGUGAAUAUCUAGGGAUAAGAGCAGGGAAGGUUUGACAAAUAUCGCUUCGACUCCGUCGUGUGUUUCACUUGAUGAGGCAAAAUAUCGCCACUGUGUUUAUUUCUAAGUUACAAGUUGCAUAAAAUAACAAUCUAGCGACUUGUCUACAGCCCGUACAUGUGCUGCACAUAAAACUAUCAAACGGUGUCCAACAAUGCGCUGUGCAAACUCUCUCUUACUUGUAACAGGGGGGAGAUGUGGGGCUGCUUGCCCAGUCUCACGACAAUAAUGAACACAAGUUAACACUGUCGUGGGUUUCAGGUGCUCUUACUCUCGCUCCGGUUGAUGGCUCCGGCUAAGGCGAAGCGUUCCCAAGAGAACUUCUCUGUGUGGUGAUGCUCCCACCUCUACAUCUCUCUCAGAAUGCUCUUACCCUGUCUGGAGGUGGUUAGAACAACCAGCGGGUCUUUCCUCCUGUAAAACCAGGGACACGGGUUACUGGCUAGGAAUAACCCCGGGGAAAGCCUAACUUUACUAUACCGCAACCAUAGUUGCGCAUGACGGAAGUGGCAGACAUGAUAGAAGCUAUCUACUGCAGAUUAAAUCCCUUUAAGUCAUUGUGAAGCAAUGUGAUGUAUUUUUCAUAUUCCUUCGUGACUGCUCGUUGAUCAAGGUCGAGUAGUCGCACGUGUGAUUUGUGUGGUACUAAGGAGAUAUACCACAAAAUUACAGAAACUAUGCUUUUAACAGAGAUUGCGGGUACCAUCCCAUUAAAGUUGGUGAAGCUGCAUGAGAAGCGAAGAGUUGUGUGUCGUCAAUAAAAAUUACAUGGAUAUUUUAGGGGGUGGCUGGCAUCGGUUCAAAUCAGACCCUGGGAUUGUAAAAUCAUGUCACUUAGAAUUAAGUCGUACGGUGAGAUUUAGGAUUUCAACUAAGAAGCAGACGACGUGACGUCAUACGCUUCCAUUCUUACACCUGCGUGUACUCCGCCAUGUUUGUGAUGGCCGGCGAUUACGAUUUAGCAAAUUUUGUGCCGUCGUUCAUUUUAAGGUUGUAAUAGCGAAAGAAGAGUAUAUUCCUGUGGAGUUUGACUGCAACACGUGUAGUUCUGGUUCCAAGUACUGAGGCAGAAUGGCAACAAAUUUCACAAGAAUUUGCACAGCGAUGGAAUCUGCCAAACUGCAUUGGAGCCAUAGAUUUCAAGCAUGUUGCCAUUUGGUCCCCUGGUGGGUCAACACACUAUAACUAUUUAAAAUUCCACAUCAUUAUUCUUCUGGCAGUUGUAGAUGCUAUGUUUUGACGUGGGAGCAAAUGGCAGGGCAGGUGAUGCUGGUGUUUUCAGAGACAGUACUCUAGCUGCUGCUCUUAAGAACAACACUCUUAAUAUUCCAACGCCAGUGCCUCUGCCAGACUGUGUUACACCUGUCCCAUACUUUAUUGUAGGGGAUGAUGCCUUUCCCCUUAAACAAUAUCUACUACAAUCAUUCCCAUUCAGAAAGGUCAUUCAGAAUCUGCAAGAUGCUGAGGAGGAGAUGGAGAGAAGGCGACAAAGAAUUUUUGACUAUAGAUUGUCAAGAGCUCGAAGAAUUGUAGAAAACAUGUUUGGCAUUCUGGUGCCACGCUUUGAUGUUUUACAGAAACCAAUGGCCCAUAGCCUGGAAUGAGCCACAAUGAUCACACUUGCAUGUAUUGCACUCCACAACUUCUUGCGAUCUAAAGCGGACCAAGAGUUUGUGCCAUCCUGUUUCAUUGACAGGGAAGAAACUGAAUGCCAAAGUGUAAUUGAGGGAGACGCGCCUAAAUACACAUCAGCUGCAACCCUUAACUAUGUUGCUGUCAACAGGUCAUGUGACUGAUGCCAGACUUGUGCGUGAGGAAGUAAAAACUUAUGUGAAUGAGUAGGGCACCGUACCAUAGCAAAAUCCCAUUGUAUUUGGUGAUUAAUAGGUUGUGUGUGAGUGUAGUAAGCAUGAGUAUGUGAGGUGGAACUAGUUUAUACUCUAACCCAAGAGCUCCCAACAAAAGAAAAUUUCUAUUAAUGAUGUUUCUUAUUGUAUGCAUGUGUUUGUGUGUGUAUAUAUAAAGAGAACUGUUUUUUUUUUUACUUUUUACAGUGAGUAUAUAUUAUUUUGCAGUUAGCUCUGAUUCUUAACUGUUUUUUGUACUUUAACCUCUUCAUUGCCCAUCAUUCUGUUUCUUCAGAUGCAUAUGCAUUAGUUUUUGCAUUAAGAUUUGAGUAAGUAUAUGAGCAUGAUGCUUGAAAGAUUUGAAAGUGAUAAAUUUAUAGUAUUUAAAUCAAAAUAUAUUUAACUAUUAAAUGAAUGAUGGAAAUGCA
Pomacea canaliculata is the source of this 2382-nucleotide long non-coding RNA. RefSeq lists it as uncharacterized. NCBI's taxonomy places the organism in Eukaryota, Metazoa, Mollusca, Gastropoda, Architaenioglossa, Ampullariidae. The transcript is spliced from 2 exons. The record is from RefSeq and is a predicted model, not a curated record.